AUUGAACGCUGGCGGCAUGCCUAACACAUGCAAGUCGAACGGUAACAGGCAAAGCUUGCUUUGCGCUGACGAGUGGCGGACGGGUGAGUAACGCGUAGGAAUCUGCCUUAAAGUGGGGGACAACCCGGGGAACUCGGGCUAAUACCGCAUGUGCCCUUCGGGUAAAGCUGGGGAUCUUCGGACCUGGCGCUUUAAGAGGAGCCUGCGUUGGAUUAGCUAGUUGGUAGGGUAAAGGCCUACCAAGGCGACGAUCCAUAGCUGGUCUGAGAGGAUGAUCAGCCACACUGGAACUGAGACACGGUCCAGACUCCUACGGGAGGCAGCAGUGGGGAAUAUUGGACAAUGGGCGAAAGCCUGAUCCAGCAAUGCCGCGUGUGUGAAGAAGGCCUUAGGGUUGUAAAGCACUUUCAGUCGGGAGGAAAACCUGAUGUUAAUAGCUUCAGGCUUGACGCUACCGACAGAAGAAGCACCGGCUAACUCUGUGCCAGCAGCCGCGGUAAUC
Molecule: ribosomal RNA, 502 nt
Filed under: uncultured bacterium
Lineage: Bacteria
Description: bacterial SSU rRNA
Rfam family: Bacterial small subunit ribosomal RNA
Source: RNAcentral